CGGAAACCAUAGAGAUGAACUUCAAGAGAGAGCGGUCCGGAGUCACAAAGGACGCAGAAUCAGGGCCUUGGGGAGCUCCUCCUAAUGGUAACCUACAACUUUACACCCUAAGCUCUGACCCUGAAGACUUGGGACCCAGAGAUUGAGGUGACUGGGACAUUCAAGUGUAAAUACGAAGUAAAACUGAGGAGCGAAUUUGGGGCCGAUUUGUGUGUUGCACCAUGCCUGUACGUGAAGACUGCCCAAUUUGCAGAACAAAACAAGAACAAGGAAAACCAAGGGCUGAAUCUGAAGAAUGAUCGCGUUUGGGGAUGAAAGGAGGCCGUGCCAGUGAAGGAGAGGAAAAGGGCAAGCCGAGAAGAAAUUAAGGCAGGCUCGUUUGACUUGUACUACUCCAGGAGGGGCGAGCGGGGUAGGUUAGCUGUCCACCUGAGAUCCUCGGGUUGAGUCCGCAUUAUCCUUGUAAGCGCCUAAGUCAGCUGAUGAAGAAAGGGACACAAGAAUACGAAAUAUUAAAGUAGUGACUUAAUUCA
Molecule: long non-coding RNA, 533 nt
Organism: Suricata suricatta (meerkat)
Lineage: Eukaryota; Metazoa; Chordata; Mammalia; Carnivora; Herpestidae
Exons: 2
Source: RefSeq, a predicted model, not a curated record